UGGCCUGCCGCAUUACCCUCCUCCUACCUACAAAACCUCUCCUCCCCCAUCCCAUGUCUCCUACUCCAACUCUCCGCCUCCACAGACACCGGUUUACGCAAUUCCUCCUCCGCAUGGCUUGCCGCAUUACCCUCCACCUACCUACAAAUCCUCUCCUCCCCCAUCCCACUCCAACUCUCCACCAAUACCGACACCGGUUUAUGCAAUUCCACCUCCGCAUGGCCUGCCGCAUUACCCUCCUCCUACCUACAAAUCCUCUCCUCCCCCAUCCCACGUCCCCUACUCCAAUUCUCCGCCUUCACCGACACCGGUUUACGCAAUUCCGCCUUCGUCGCACCCGCAUCACAAACCAUUGCCGCCGUACCACACCAUUCCCGAGCACGCGCCGCCACCGCAGCAGCAUCACUACGGGGUACCACCGCCGCCCUACAACUAAGACCGGAAUAGAGGAAGAGCAUCAGAAAGAACAAGUUGAUUAUCUAGAAUUGUAUAACGUGUUCUUGGCUAUAUUUCGUGAAGAGUAGUGUGUGGUUCAGUACGUACGUAGUAUCCCAGAAUACGGAAUAAGAGAGGAAUGUUAAUUCGCAUUACCGAUCAGGCAUAUAAGUCCUAGAUUUGGUUUAGCCACGGUGUCUUUGUCGCGAUUGUAUCGUAAUCACUUUCUAAUGCAGCGUUUGUUUUAUAUUAUUUAA
Molecule: long non-coding RNA, 692 nt
Filed under: Ananas comosus (pineapple)
Lineage: Eukaryota; Viridiplantae; Streptophyta; Magnoliopsida; Poales; Bromeliaceae
Description: long non-coding RNA (ACOM_LNC025122)
Source: RNAcentral